AGUGAACGCUGGCGGCAGGCCUAACACAUGCAAGUCGAACGGUAACAGGGAUCGGCUUGCUGAUUCGCUGACGAGUGGGGGAGGGGGGUGUGAUGUCCGUGGAACUGUCUUAUUUAGGGGGGUAACUACUGGAGACGCUAGCUCAUACCGCAUAUCCUCGCAACAGCAAAGAGCGGGAGCUCUGCGCCUCUUGCCAUCUGGAGUGCCCAGAUGGGAUUAGCUAGUAGGUGGGGUAACGGCUCACCCAGGCGACGAUCCCUAGCUGGUCUGAGAGGAUGACCAGCCACACUGGAACUGAGACACGGUCCAGACUCCUACGGGAGGCAGCAGUGGGGAAUAUUGCACAAUGGGCGCAAGCCUGAUGCAGCCAUGCCGCGUGUAUGAAGAAGGCCUUCGGGUUGUAAAGUACUUUCGGCGGGGAGGAAAAGAGUAAGGUUAAUACCUCUGCGUACUGACGUUACCCGAAGAAUAAGCACCGGCUAACUUCGUG
This 490-nucleotide ribosomal RNA is filed under the name uncultured bacterium. Its description in RNAcentral is "partial 16S ribosomal RNA". It matches the Rfam family "Bacterial small subunit ribosomal RNA", at positions 29 to 507 of the family's 1533-position model. The record is from RNAcentral.